Long non-coding RNA from Bactrocera neohumeralis, 3230 nucleotides. RefSeq lists it as uncharacterized. Lineage: Eukaryota; Metazoa; Arthropoda; Insecta; Diptera; Tephritidae. The transcript is spliced from 4 exons. The record is from RefSeq and is a predicted model, not a curated record.
AAUGAUUGAUCAUAUGAUUAUCAUCGUUCUUGUAGGGAUUACUGCCAAAAAUCAGUUUCGCUCCAAGGUUUUGCAUGGCGCAUACUGAAAAAAAGUAACAGCAAUGAUGUGGGUUGAACAUUUCGAUAAUAAUAGCUCGUAAAAGUUUUGAUUUUGUUAGCGGAUAGUGGAUGUUCUUCGGAUUCAAAAUGUGAGUGUAAAAUUCAUAAGAACAGUAAAAAAAUGGCAUACUUUAAUAUGUUAUAGUUUUGGUCUUUUAUUGCGAAUAGCUCUCGUGCAGUCAAAAUCGAAAUUUUACCUGUUAUUUUCUGCGGCCGAUUUUAUUUAGGGACGAUAGUAAAGGAAUGAUAGUAGAUACGUUAAAAGAGAAAUUAGGACAGUCAGGGUUGAAUGUUACAGGCAAGAAAAAAUUGCAAUUGUGUUUGAAGUAAAUUGGGUCAAGUAAUUAUUUUAAGUUUAAACUAAAAGGAUAUUGUGCUCAGCAGUGAAAAGAGCACAGAAAAUAAGUGAUUAAAACUGACAGACUAUCAAGAGGUAUAAUACGCUAUUGAUGUUGCGAAAUAUAGAGCUAACUGUGGAAGAAUUAUUAUGGGAAAAAGGCGUGCUUACGGCAGUAGGCAGCUUUACGGAAGAGAUGACAGCAGAGGGGUUGUUAUUGAACGUUACAUUUCACGUGGUUAGGGAACAUGAUAAUCCGUAUUAAACAAUGCUCUGAAAUUAUGUACAUCAGAAUGUUCAGUAAACCUUUGAAAGUUUAUUGGAUGGCAGUGAGGCGCGCAGAAGAUGGCUUCUGGGGGUGCGUGUGGUACUGCUGAAAUUUUGUUUGUUGUUUGUUUGUGUGAAUUGGAAAGGAGUUAACGGUUGGAUUAAUAGUUACCAUCGUUAGAAGCCUUGUAAUAGGCCAGUACAGUCUAGUAAUACCAGCCGGAAUUUGAGCCACGUACAGUGCCUCAGGUGGAUCAGCAAAGUGUUGACAAAGAGGUCGCACGUAUGUAUAAAGAGGGUAUUAUUCAGAAUAUUGUGUCGGAACAAGCAUCGCCAGAAAUGUUAGUUUCAGAGAAAAGUUGAGCAAAAAGGUUUUGUCUUAUUUUUCAUGAGAAUAACGAACAAAUAAUUCGAUAAAUUUUCUAAUGACUACCAUGGGAAAAGCGUUAGACAAAAUGGGUACAAGCAGGUACAGUCCUUUUGAAUUUGAGGUUUUGAUAGCUAUAAAGCCUGCAUUAACAUAACAAGCAAUUGUAACACUUUCACUACGACUGUCAAGAAAUAAUACGUACGUGACAGGAAGAUGAGGUGAUCGACAAAAAUUCAGUUAUGUGGUAAAAUCGUCAGCUCUGAGUCUCGCAUACUGUUAUUGCAACCAGUGUGCCACGAGGAAACGAACAAUGCUAUCUAAGAAAUGUCAAAGUAACCCCAGUCAGUGGUAUCAUCACGUCGCAAAGAAAUAGAGGGGUUGAACGUAAAAUGCGAUUCAUUAAGACAAAUAGCUCAUGGAAAUAGAACAUUUAAUAAAAUACAGAAAAAGUUUUAAUACAGCAUAGACGAUUUUGUAGCUACAAAAAAACUCACUUUGGGAUGGCUACUAAAUUGAAACUGAACUAUUUUGGACAGAACAAGGAAAUCGCCAACUAGAACAUGAUAAAUACGAGUUCGAAAAAGGAAGGACCGAAGAAGACUACGACACUGGCAGAAUAUAUGAAAAAAUUAACUUAAUUAUUCGAAAUGGAAUAAUAAGUCCGGACGAUUGUAGGAAUGAAAUGGAUAAUAAACAGUAGUAGGUGGCGACAUUUACUGACCGAAAACAAACGAAGCGUCCAUUAUAACGGAUAAGAAAUAUGUAGCGGUGAUUGACUGAGCGAUAGAGAAUUCCUCCAGCAUUAGAACCUGCAACAUCGAAGGAGGGGUAUUAAGCUUUAUAAUACACAGUUUUAUUAAUCUAAAAUAAUUCUUGCUUUUCAUGUCAAUUCCCAAAUAUAAAUACUAUAUGACAAUAACUUCGACAGCUAUGAUUUGCUUGUAUUUCAUUUCCCUAAGGAUAAAGCCGCAUUAAAACAAUGGAUUCAUUUUUGUCGUCGGACGGAUUGUGGUUUUUGCUGAUGUCCCCCACUUAAUAAAACUACAAAGAAAUCAUUUUUUGGAUAAGGGCUUUACUAUCAAUGGAAAAAUUGUUAGAAAAGAUAUAAUUGUGAAGCUGCUCUCGCUAACGUCCAACGAGCUGUCCAUCACGCACAAACUUUCCCAGAAACAUUUGUCUGUGACAGGAGCAAAAAGGCAAAAGGUUAAAUUAGCCACAAAAUUGUUCUCCCACACAAUUGCUCAAGCAAUAACUCGAGCGGCUAGUUUAGGUUUACUAGAUAACGAAAAUUGGGAGGAAUGCCAUCGACUUUUUAAAAUUACAAAUGACUGGUUUGACGUAAUAAAUGUCAGGGUGCCCAAAGAUGGAGUGAGGGAACGCUUGCACGCCUACGGUUUGGCUUUGAACAAAUAAAAUAAUGUACUGGAACAGAUGACGGAGCUGGUUUCAUCAAUGAGAGUCAUUGGUAAAAAUGGUUUGCUUCCGUUCCAAAAAGGUAUACUCCAAAGCAAUAAUGCUUUGAAAUUGCUGCUGAAUGACUUAAGACAGCAGCACAAAAUUAAUUACGUUUUGACCUAUCGAUUGAACCCGGACGUUUUGGAAAUUUUUUUUGGCGUAAUCAGGUCAAAAGGCGGUCUUCACGAUCACCCUGAUAAGCAGGAGUUCAAAUAAAGGCUGCGUUCCUAUAUACUUGGUCACAACGAAGGAGCGAUCACAGAAGAAGGCAAUGUUGAAGUCGACAACACACCAGAUUUGGAAGGAAAUUACUUAUCUCUAUCCGGUAAUAUUUUUCAACGUGUGUCAGUCAAAAAAAUUAUGACUUGCAGAAUUUGGCAGGGUACAUCUGCCACAAACUCGGUAGAGACAACCCCGAAAUUUGUGCCAAUUCCGAAAAUUGUUCGUCCCAUACUUGGGUGGAUCACCUUUCAGAAGGAGGACUCUCAAAACCAACAGAUAUGUUGAUGGAGCAUAUGAGAGCCUUGCAAGCAAUAUUUGACGACGUCAAUGGUAAUGAUUUGCAUAUACAUAUGUAUGUACAAAUUACGUCCAGAAACACAUAGAUUUAAGUGAUUUUGUAAAUUGUAGCUCGAUAAUAAAAGAAUUAUUUUUCAGAGCUAAAAUGUAUUUUAGGAUUCGUUCCUUAAAUAAAAACAUA